This 548-nucleotide ribosomal RNA is filed under the name uncultured Glomeromycotina. RNAcentral describes it as "SSU rRNA". It matches the Rfam family "Eukaryotic small subunit ribosomal RNA", at positions 548 to 1098 of the family's 1831-position model. Lineage: Eukaryota; Fungi; Glomeromycota. The record is from RNAcentral.
UUGGAGGGCAAGUCUGGUGCCAGCAGCCGCGGUAAUUCCUGCUCCAAUAGCGUAUAUUAAAGUUGCUGCAGUUAAAAAGCUCGUAGUUGAAUUUCGGGACCAUCAUGUCGGUCGUGCCUCGGUACGUACUGGCAUUGUUGGUUUCUCCCUUCUGACGAACCAUGAUGUCAUUUAUUUGGUGUUGUGGGGAAUCAGGACUGUUACUUUGAAAAAAUUAGAGUGUUUAAAGCAGGCUCACGCUUGAAUACAUUAGCAUGGAAUAAUGAAAUAGGACGUUUGAUUCUAUUUUGUUGGUUUCUAGGAUCGACGUAAUGAUUAAUAGGGAUAGUUGGGGGCAUUAGUAUUCAAUUGUCAGAGGUGAAAUUCUUGGAUUUAUUGAAGACUAACUACUGCGAAAGCAUUUGCCAAGGAUGUUUUCAUUAAUCAAGAACGAAAGUUAGGGGAUCGAAGACGAUCAGAUACCGUCGUAGUCUUAACCAUAAACUAUGCCGACUAGGGAUCGGAUGAUGUUAAUUUUUUAAUGACUCAUUCGGCGCCUUACGGGAAAC